GUGAAAUGAGAGAGAAAGUGGAUAUAUCACUGAGUUAGGGAGGUGAAGACAGCUCCUUCAUCCAUGAGGACAUUCUCCCACCUUGGUGCAAGACAGCAAAGUGCAGACAGGAUCUGAGCCUGGGCCAGCAGGAAUCUUUCACUGGCUGCUGCCUUUGUGCUUUGGAGCCCUGCAGAAGGUGAAUGUGUGUCUGCAUCACGUGAGGGCUGGACUGAUGGGCUGAUGCUUCAGGAGCUGAGCUACGUUUCAGAAAGGAGGGUUGAAGAGCACUUGAUGCCAGACGUUAUUUUACAUGUGUGUUCUGACACCAGACUUCACUACUGCGCCUCACCUUUCUCUGUGUGCGUGGGUUUGAACACCUUUGCCAACUACAACCCUAUG
Molecule: long non-coding RNA, 381 nt
Organism: Empidonax traillii (willow flycatcher)
Lineage: Eukaryota; Metazoa; Chordata; Aves; Passeriformes; Tyrannidae
Exons: 3
Source: RefSeq, a predicted model, not a curated record